UGGUGCAUGGCCUCGUCAGUUCGUACUGUGAAGCAUCCUGUUAAGUCAGGCAACGAGCGAGACCCACGCCCACAGUUGCCAGCGUACUCUCUGGAGUGACGGGUACACUGUGGGGACCGCCGCUGCUAAAGCGGAGGAAGGAAUGGGCAACGGUAGGUCAGUAUGCCCCGAAUAUCCCGGGCUACACGCGAGCUACAAUGGUUGGUACAAUGGGUAUCUACCCCGAAAGGGGACGGGAAUCUCCUAAAACCAAUCUUAGUUCGGAUUGAGGGCUGCAACUCGCCCUCAUGAAGCUGGAAUCCGUAGUAAUCGCGUUUCAACAGAACGCGGUGAAUACGUCCCUGCUCCUU
This 350-nucleotide ribosomal RNA is filed under the name uncultured Methanosaeta sp. RNAcentral describes it as "bacterial SSU rRNA". It matches the Rfam family "Archaeal small subunit ribosomal RNA", at positions 988 to 1338 of the family's 1478-position model. The record is from RNAcentral. Lineage: Archaea; Methanobacteriati; Methanobacteriota; Methanomicrobia; Methanotrichales; Methanotrichaceae.